Molecule: ribosomal RNA, 440 nt
Filed under: uncultured bacterium
Lineage: Bacteria
Description: partial 16S ribosomal RNA
Rfam family: Bacterial small subunit ribosomal RNA
Source: RNAcentral
CCUACGGGAGGCAGCAGUGGGGAAUAUUGCACAAUGGGGGAAACCCUGAUGCAGCGACGCCGCGUGAGUGAAGAAGUAUCUCGGUACGUAAAGCUCUAUCAGCAGGGAAGAAAAUGACGGUACCUGACUAAGAAGCCCCGGCUAACUACGUGCCAGCAGCCGCGGUAAUACGUAGGGGGCAAGCGUUAUCCGGAUUUACUGGGUGUAAAGGGAGCGUAGACGGCAGCACAAGUCUGGAGUGAAAUCCCGGGGCUUAACCCCGGAACUGCUUUGGAAACUGUGCGGCUGGAGUGCAGGAGGGGUAAGCGGAAUUCCUAGUGUAGCGGUGAAAUGCGUAGAUAUUAGGAGGAACACCGGUGGCGAAGGCGGCUUACUGGAACAUUACUGACACUGAAACACGAAAGCGUGGGGAGCAAACAGGAUUAGAUACCCGUGUAGUC